GUCCACGCCCUAAACGAUGUCUACUAGUUGUCGGGUCUUAAUUGACUUGGUAACGCAGCUAACGCGUGAAGUAGACCGCCUGGGGAGUACGGUCGCAAGAUUAAAACUCAAAGGAAUUGACGGGGACCCGCACAAGCGGUGGAUGAUGUGGAUUAAUUCGAUGCAACGCGAAAACCUUACCUACCCUUGACAUGGAAGGAAUCCCGAAGAGAUUUGGGAGUGCUCGAAAGAGAACCUUUAACAGGUGCUGCAUGGCUGUCGU
This 262-nucleotide ribosomal RNA is filed under the name uncultured bacterium. Its description in RNAcentral is "partial 16S ribosomal RNA". It matches the Rfam family "Bacterial small subunit ribosomal RNA", at positions 793 to 1055 of the family's 1533-position model. The record is from RNAcentral.